Molecule: ribosomal RNA, 434 nt
Filed under: uncultured Clostridiales Family IV bacterium
Lineage: Bacteria; Bacillati; Bacillota; Clostridia; Eubacteriales; Eubacteriales Family IV. Incertae Sedis
Description: bacterial SSU rRNA
Rfam family: Bacterial small subunit ribosomal RNA
Source: RNAcentral
ACGGAAGGCAGCAGUGGGGAAUAUUGCACAAUGGGGGAAACCCUGAUGCAGCAACGCCGCGUGAGGGAUGAAGGUUUUCGGAUUGUAAACCUCUGUCUUCGGUGACGAUUAUGACGGUAGCCGAGGAGGAAGCUCCGGCUAACUACGUGCCAGCAGCCGCGGUAAUACGUAGGGAGCGAGCGUUGUCCGGAUUUACUGGGUGUAAAGGGUGCGUAGGCGGGACUUCAAGUCAGGUGUGAAAUCUAUCGGCUUAACCGGUAAACUGCACUUGAAACUGUAGUUCUUGAGUGAAGUAGAGGCAGGCGGAAUUCCGAGUGUAGCGGUGAAAUGCGUAGAUAUUCGGAGGAACACCAGUGGCGAAGGCGGCCUGCUGGGCUUUUACUGACGCUGAGGCACGAAAGCGUGGGGAGCAAACAGGAUUAGAUACCCUGGUA